GUAAUAGCUUAGAGUGUUAAAUUUUGUGAUUUACUACUUGAUAUGGUAGCACAAAAUUAGAACUACAAGAAGAAUAAAGGCUUGGUCACCUUACCUGUAAGAUCUACUAAUGACAAUAACUUUAUAGAGAAAAUUGCUCCUCUUUAAGCAAUGCCUCAUCUGACUUGAUGCUCUCUGCUGCAGAAGGUGAAAUUGCAACAAUUACAAACUUGAUCUUGGCUGUGACCCCUGAAUUGACCUUUUGAAGGAACCUGGAUUAUGUCUGAAUCUAUUAUCUCUGCAAGGAGACCAGCUGUCUUCAGAAUUGCUUUUGGGGCCCCGUAAUGUCAUCGUGAAAUUGCAGUUAGUAAUCUUGCCAACAAUUUCCAGAUUUGGUGCAGAUAAGCUUGAACACAUUUGACUCUUUGGUUUCCAAUGUUAUUUAGAGAAUUGGAUGACUUAAAGCAUUUAUUUUUUUCAACUCAAUUCUUAUCAUAAUCCAUCAACAUCACUGUGUUUUUAUUCUCUAUUUCAUUUUUAUAUGAUCCUAUUAGUUGAGAGAAACACAAGUGACAUUUUUCUUUCCUAUGGCCUUGUCUCCUUUUUGCCUUUGCUAGAACUCAGAGAUCAUAUACCUUUUACUAAAUUAGAAUUCAGCCAUAUCCUCUGACCAACAAUUUUCCUAGCACUGAUCUUCUUCACUGAGUUUUGUUAGGGAUGAAACAAAGGCAGUUCUUUCUGCUCCAUGCAAAUGACAUUUGCAACCUGUCCCUAAAUCACAGACCGGA
RNAcentral lists this long non-coding RNA (767 nucleotides) under Homo sapiens (human). Its description in RNAcentral is "long non-coding RNA NONHSAT155798". Lineage: Eukaryota; Metazoa; Chordata; Mammalia; Primates; Hominidae. The record is from RNAcentral.